AUUUCUUCACCUGGAUUUUUGAAGAAAGUCUGGCAUCUACGGACGGCCCCACUCUUUACGAAAGGUGACAUUCGGGAAGGUAAAAUCACCGUAGGCUACGCUCGACAAAUGCUGUAUCAAGUGGCAUCGUGAGCCACAAAGCUAAUGUGUCAUCGAUUGUGUUCGGCGCCCCUAACAAGUACUCGUACUGAUCCCCGACAUACUCCAAACUCUCAACGGAGAAUUAGAGAGGCAGUGAUGUCAAACGGGCUGCAGCCUAGCCCGUCAUCAUUGAAAAACGGGGGCAUGCAAGUCACAGUUAUGUAAAACGCUACCUUUCGACAACCAAAAAAGAAAAAUGGGAGCAUCCUAACACUUAUCUACCCUGUGGGGAAAAAGGCUUGCAGCUUCUUCCACAGGGAGCUGGAACAGUAACGGAGGCGUAUGACUGCAGCCGCCGGGGCUGCUACUGGGCGCUCCUCCAGCCGCGCUUCGUCGGCGAAAACGUCAAGUGUGUUUCUCAAGGGGGAUGCUGCUCGCACGAGCAAAACUGGAGUAUUAGAAGUUGCUCUUCCAGACGGUAAGGCUUAGGAUGACGUCAAGGAACCGCCUCCACACAACUCUCCAAGUUGCCUAGCGAGACCCGUCUGGGAAAAAAGAGUCAUUCCAAUUUUAAAGAAUGAUCUUUACACUGCUCGUACACACUUUCUCAAAAGGGAAAAAAAGUGAGCGUCAAAACUAUAGAAAUGUAUUCACGCGUGUUCGGCGCAGCUCCUUCCAAAGUAGCAAGUUCCUGGUGGAGGAGGGACCCUCAGUAUUUUGGAAACGUUCCCAGUUGGCAGAUGUUUUUCUCGGGCUGCCUUACUGCGAUGCACAGUAGUUCUGCAUACAGGCGUUUCAUCAUGGUCGUGCCCUUGCAUGCCAUAGUUCGCGGCAAAAAACGAGAAGGGCUACAACAUUUCGGCGGCAUUCUCCAGCUUGGCAAGAACGCAGUGUGUGAAGCCUCAACACCAUGACGGAAGUAGACGGGGUAUUGUAUCAGCUGACCGAGACUCAGGUCAAUACAUUCAGAACGGCCUUCGCCAUGUUCGACAAGGAUCAGGACGGGAAGAUCAGUUUCUCGUACGUAGGAUCCGCCGCGUGCAUCCAAGUGUUAACAUCGCGGCGACGAACAUGACUCCGCUGUUAUUCAUCAUCAACGCAACAGCAGUCGACAC
This 1196-nucleotide long non-coding RNA is filed under the name Toxoplasma gondii VEG. Lineage: Eukaryota; Apicomplexa; Conoidasida; Eucoccidiorida; Sarcocystidae. The record is from RNAcentral.